This 3730-nucleotide long non-coding RNA is filed under the name Pelobates cultripes (western spadefoot toad). Lineage: Eukaryota; Metazoa; Chordata; Amphibia; Anura; Pelobatidae. The record is from RNAcentral.
UGCCCAUUCUACUACUGUGGUGAUUACGUCCUUGUCGUUCAAACACAAAGCAUCUAUGGAACAGAUAAAGCGCAUGUUUAAUAAAUUUUUUACCUUGAUUCAUCCGUCAUGGAGUUUACAGAAACGUUACAUGGGUGUUGGUCUCUAUUUCUGCAAUCGACAUGUUUUCAUGUGGCUUGGGUUUACCUUAUCUCAUUUUGUUACUCCUUUUGUGAACCUGAGCGCAAAAUGUAUUCUUAUCAGUAAAGUAAUUUUCUAUGUGGUCAUGGUUCACAAAACGCUUUCCUGUUAUUUCUGAGAGUGCUUGUUUUUAUUAUCUUAUCCUUUCCUGACAUUUCUUGCUGUUUUUUGUGGUAGAAGCAUGAAGUAGGGCGUGGACACAAAGAAUUCUGGUAUUGUCCUGCUUCUCCAGUUCAGAGAAUCCGUAUUCCACAGGUUAUUACCCUUGGAGGCCUUGACCACACAGAUGGUUUACUUGUAAUCCUAAAUGUAUUUUUUCCUUUCUCUGUCAAUGUAGUUGGUUUAGAAGGGAAGGCCAUAAAGAUAACUGCAAAAGUGGGAACAUUGAAGAGAAAAAAACAGAUGAGAGAAUUUUUGGAACAGAUUCCAAAGGAUGAUCAUGAUGACAUUUUUAGUUCUACGCCAUUCAGAAACAAGCGAGUAAAGGUAAAUCGCUUACCUGCCAAUUGACUGUUCUCCUUCCUUGCACCUAUAAAUGUGCUUUGACACCUUUUUAUAUAUGACUAACAAACCACCAAACCUCUUAUGUUCACAGCUUCCAUCCAUGAAUAUAUCGAGCGAUGAUUCCUUUGAACUGGCAGAUGCCAACCUAACACCAUCAUCAAAAAUAUUUCCAUUGGAUGCCACCCCCCAGUGUGACCAUCUCACUCCAGGAAUGCUGGAACCAGUGGACCGGUAAGAGUCGGACUGUAUUUUGGACAGGAGCAAUGAAUUUGAGCCGUCAUCUAUCAGUUGAUGUGCAUUCUUGUUGUUGGAGUAGAACAAUACACUCCCUAAGAGAGGUUCUAAUUUCUUUGUUGGGCUCCUUUAUGUUCUUGGUGUUACGUAUUCCUCCCUAGACAACUAAUGCAAUGCAAAAUAUGUUUGUUUCCCACAGCCAUCACUAAUAGUGCCUGUGAGAUUUGACAAAAGUUGACAGCGAAAGCAGUCUCAAUUUUCUUUGUUGCAUUGUAGUAGAAGGGAGAGAUGGGACGUUACCAGAAAUGAAAGAGUUCUGAAUUGAGCUUGCUUGGGAGUGUGGUGUUAUGGUGAAGGUAUCUUACCCUAAAGUACUAUGUAGUGGAUUUAUUUUUAUUAUUUUUAAAAAGAAGAAAAUCUGCUAUAAAUAUAUGCAAAAUUCUAUACGGUUAUGAAAUGUUUCACCACAAAUGGGUAAUUUUGAUUGUCAGAAUUCAGAGACACUGGGGGAGGUGUGUGUGUGUGUGUUUGUUUUUGUUUUUGUUUGUUUUUCCCCUGGUUUUAUGUGUUUCCCAGUAUAAUUUGUGUCCUAUACUCUUUUACCAUUCGGGAGUGUCCGUAUAAACGGAAUCCAUUCGUCUCCAGAAUGGGGACCACCACAGUGCCCCGUUAGAACCUUCGCAAUCUCAACAUAAAUGUGAAACUGCAAUGUUCGCACUGGCAACAUAAGUGUGAAACAGCAAGGGAAUUAAUGAGUGCUCCACUGGAUGGCCGCCAUUUCGUAUAGACGAACGCCAACCAGGCGGAGCAUUCAUACCCCCAAAAGUAGACGCUUCUCUUACAGGUUUCAGCACCGGAACUUCGCAUACAGAGAUUGAGCGGAGAAGGUGCCAUGGUGAGGUUGCCUGGGAUUGAUGGGGACUCUUUUGGGGCACUGGCUACUUUGUCGUGCUUUUCUGUGCCUGGGAGACAAAGGGACAUUCUCUUUUCCCGCGCCUUGGCUCCCACGCACAGAGGCUCAUGGGAUGAAGACCCACCUGUCGUCCUGGGCAAGAGACCCCUCGCUUUAGUGGCGUGCUUUCCAUAUUUGUGAGGCAAAGGAACAGCAUCCCCCCGUUCCCGCGCUUGGUUCCCCAGGUAGAGAGGAUACUGGGAUACAACCCCUGUUUGUGUGUUUUAAAGACCCCUUUGCAUGGGGAUAUGCAUGUGUGUGGCUCAAUAACAGCUGUGUCUCGUCCAGUUAAUGGGGGGGGAUGGGUCUCUUAUUAUUCCAAGUGGUUCCUGAGUGGCUGAAGGAAGGGGUUAGCGGAGGUAACCCGUCGUGUUACUCAGGGUCCGCUCAAGUGUGGUUGUUUGGAAUCUGUAUCAACAAAGACCUGGGACUACCUGCUCCUGAAUUCACUUGAACCCACUAUAUACUUGAGGCUCUGUACUAUGUCAAUUCUUUGAAAUCACCUAUCUGCAAAUAAAUACUUAUCGAUUUUUAUUUUUAUUUUUUUUUGUCUAUUACAAGUUGCCAACCAAAAUAAUAUGUAAUAUUGUGUAUAAACGUGCCACCUGCAGCCUUUAAAGGGGAAGCACACUGAGCUGAUUUUAAUUUUGCCAUCACCAAACACCUUCUGCAGCUUUAUUUUUUUGUGUUAAAGGGGCACUGUAGUCACCCAGACCACUUCAGCUGGUCUGGGUGCUGUCCCUUUUGAACCUAGUGCUGCAAUGUAAAAGAUUGCAGUUCCAGAGAACUGCAAAGUUUACAUUGCAGCACUAAGACUGCCCUCAGGGGCUGUCUACCAGACAGCCACUGUGGGCGCUUCCGGAAUCGGAACAGACUUUUGGUCCGUUAUCUGAUGCUGGAUGUCCUCAAGCUCUGCAUGAGACCCUCCACCGUCAGAUUUUUUCCCAUAAGAAAACAUUGAUUCAAUGCUUUCUUAUGGGGAGGUCUAAUGCGUGCGCAACAUUUUGCCGCGCAUGCAAAAUUUAAAUCACACUCUUCAGGGGGCGGAGUUUGGACACAGUGCCGAGGGAAAUCGGCACUGGGAUAAGGUAAGUAAGUAAAGGGCUUUUAACCCUUUAUUUACCUGGGAGGCAGAGGAAUCGGUAGUGCCAGGAAUAGAGCUUUGUAUUCCUGGCACCACAGUAUCCCUUUAAGGCUAGGAAAUGUUCUGUUUUUUUUUUUUUUGUUUUUUUUUUAAAUUACAAGCUAGUUAGAAAAAACAGUUACUUAAAUGAUGUUUAAAAAUACUCUUGCUUUUCCUAUAGAUUUCCUUAUACAGACUCUGUUCUUACCAACACCGCUAUAUUGUAUUGUAAUGGUUCUGGUGCAUAAAUGCUAUCCUUUUUCUUGGACUUUCUAAAACCUUUCCAUCUCUGGGGAAACUGUCAUGCAUUUUUUUUUUUUGUUAAAUGUAAACUUUGCAGAGAAGCCACUACAAGCCCUUCCUCAAGACGUACGUAAUGCUGAAUGUGAAAACCUUCAAAAACCCGUACAACAUGAUGACUUUGAUUGCAGCUACUGCUUCUCAUUUUGGAGCAUUGAAUUGGUAGAGUGAGAAAUUGUUGCACAUAUGCUUGAGGUCUUGAAUGCAUCUGAUUGGAUCAGAGAUAAUUUAGCAACUUUCCAAAAAGGGGGAAGAGUAACCUAAAAAAAAAUAGAGAAAAUAAACCCUAACAUUUACAGUUAUUUCAAAGGAACACUAUAGGGUCAGGAACACAAACCUGUAUUCCUGACCCUAUAGUGUAAAAACUACCAUUUAGGUGGGACACCCCUCCUUGGACCCCUUAGAAAGGGUUCAAAUAUACCUAAUUUCCAGUGCCG